Long non-coding RNA from Octopus bimaculoides (California two-spot octopus), 2658 nucleotides. RefSeq lists it as uncharacterized. NCBI's taxonomy places the organism in Eukaryota, Metazoa, Mollusca, Cephalopoda, Octopoda, Octopodidae. The record is from RefSeq and is a predicted model, not a curated record.
UACACAGAAACACACACACUUAAAUGUAUUCAUAGACUUAGAAAGACACAGAAUAACUUGAGAGAAAGAGAAAGAGAGACGCCAUACUGAAACAUAGAAGAGAAAUAUAAUUUAAAGGCGCAUGAAUAUUUACAAGAAAUAAAUUGAACGUUGGUGGAUACAUGACUCAUAAUAAUUCUAAGAAUUCACUUGACCUACUGUGAUGAAUAAAGAUCGGAGAUUACAGCCAAAUCAUCUUGUGUUGGAUAACACAUAAUGAUCUGAAAAAAGAACUGUUAAUACAUGUCCUGAAGCAUAAUCGUUUACGAGAUUCAAAUCCUUCCAGUUCCUACAGUGUUAUGUGACUUUGUGAAAUGUUGGUCCAAUUCAAAUGAGGACAGUAAUUUUAAAUUGACGAAAGAAAAAAGUGGUGAAGAAAGCAAACAUCAAAAACAUUCCCAAGAGAAAAGAUAUGAAACAUGACGAAAAUACCGAAAAUAUAAUUAACUGAUAAGCCAUUGCGAAAUAACAUUAACUACGCAGUUAUGUAUUUAAAGUGUUGUAUGGCGACACAUAGCCAUGUAAGUCUUUAAAAGUAACGAUUAAAUUAUGUAGAAUGGGGGUUGGUAAAUGGUGGACUUAACUGGAUUUUCAAAUUGAUAUGGCUAUUAAUUUGGUGAUCUUUAGUCAUCUUUAACGGAUGAUUGAUGGCUGUACUAUGAAGCUGUCAUCUCAUAAGCAAGCAACACAUUCAUUUCCAUUAAAAUUCUUUUCCUCAGCGCUAACCUUAUGAAGACGUCUACAAACUAUGGGGUGAGAAGUUCAGCUGUUAUAGGUUCUACUAUCAUACUUGAUACAUGAGAAAUCUAUUUCUAUAUGAUAUCUCACGGCAACGACUACAUCUAUCACACCCACCAUCACCACCUCCACCACUGCUGUGUGACGACUCUUUACCAAAGACAGCCAUUACCGCCACUCAUGUCUUAUGUUACUACUAAAUAUAUCGGUUUCUAGUUUCCAGUUUUAAUGCGAUGGGAGAUUUGUGAAAUCAGACAGUAGCAACACACACUUUUUAAAAUUAUUUUAGGCAGAAGAAAUACAGAGAAGGUAAUUAUUAUUUUAAUGAAGAUAGGUCAGUUCACUUGUGACUAUUUUCAUUAAAUCAUUAUAUAAAAUCAUAGCGAAAAGAUGUUCAGUCGGUGCUGUUAAACCCCUUCGUUCCUAAUAGUCUCCCGGUGCAAACUAUAGCUGGGAUGGAAGGUGCACUGUAAUAAAAAGAGAUUCAUUACCUUCCCACUCAUAGUUACACUCGUUUUGUUUAGUCGAUACAAUAAUAUAUGUGUAGAAUGUAGCGUGUGUAUUUAAAGGACGCUCAACAGAUUUUUACAGUGCGUGUGGCAUUGUGUUUUCUUAAGUAUCAACAGGGGUAGCAAUAGGUAAGAAUGGCACCACUUUAUUUAGUUUUCUAUUAGAGUUCGUUACAUUUCUACGUAACCUUACCGUUCAUGAUCCCCUUACAUUCGCACAUAUGUAUGUCACGAAAUUCUCCGACUUCCGUUGUUAGCACCAUUUUAUGUUAACGUAGCUUUCAGUGACACAGGAUUAUAGCAGUCUAUAAUCUGGUUAUUAGGAUUUCUCUUACCAUAGUCUACAAUGUGGGUUUCUUUGUGUAUUACAAUUGUUGGUCGCUGAUUCAAGAAGUUGAACAACAACAGAGAGACGUCCGUUAUCGUCGCAUUGUUGGUGAAUCUGAUAUUAUUAGGAGUAUGUUAAUACUGCCGCCGGUGAAUGAAGCCCAUAUGGUUUGAAAAUGAUAGAAAAAAAAUAUUCUCUCUAAAAGAAUCUUCGAUAACAUUAAAUUGACAGCAUACAUAUCGAUGUUGCAUAUUAUGUUAUCGAGGUAGUUGUAUUGAAUCACCAAUCAAUACCGAAAAACUGAUAACUCCUUAGCAUAAUGUCGUGGCUCUACGUCUUUACGACGACGGGGAUUCCAGUUGAUCCGAUCAACGGAACAGUCUAUUCGUGAAAUUAACUUUCAAGCACUCCACAGAUACGCGUACCGUUGACGCAGUUCUCGGGUGAGAUACGACGCUGAUAUCAUAAUAUAUGUCACUUUAUUAAUAAUGCAAAUUACUAUACUUCAAAUUGUUUUGUUUCGUUUUUUACAGGUUUUUUGUUCUCACCUUUCUUCCUUUCUUUAUUCUCGUGCGUUAAGAGUUAUCUUAUUGCGCUCCUUCCAAAUAUUCCUAUUCUUUAAAAUCUCAGAGAACAAGUCUAUUUUUCUUCUACAGCGCAAAAUGCCUAUUUACAUGUCAUUUGUUCCACAAACAAUCCUGAAACGUAUUUCUCUAAUCAUGUUUAAUUGUCCAAUGGCGGAUAUCACCAUUAAUUGUUCUCAUAUCAUGUGUUAUCACAAAAGUAUAGAAUAUUGAUAUUCUCGUUAUCAUGGUAUGUAAAAUGCGCAUGAUCCCUUUGUCUUACUUCGAAUUCGUGAAGUUUGUCACUUUUCAGAAUAUAUCUCUGAAGUCUUCUAUCGGUAUAUUCGUGUGGAUUGUACUAGGUAUAGAUGUGCUUGGCACAUCCUUUCUAAAAGACCUCAUAUCCUUCCUCAAACGAUGGACUUUGCAAUUUGUACGAUUGUCUAUUAACUAGAGCAAAGCAUGUCACGAAAAUAUAAUU